This 607-nucleotide ribosomal RNA is filed under the name Leucocoprinus cf. zamurensis PA415. Its description in RNAcentral is "eukaryotic LSU rRNA". It matches the Rfam family "Eukaryotic large subunit ribosomal RNA", at positions 52 to 642 of the family's 3401-position model. Lineage: Eukaryota; Fungi; Basidiomycota; Agaricomycetes; Agaricales; Agaricaceae. The record is from RNAcentral.
GGAGGAAAAGAACUAACAAGGAUUCCCCUAGUAACUGCGAGUGAAGCGGGAAAAGCUCAAAUUUAAAAUCUGGCGGCCUCUGGUCGUCCGAGUUGUAAUCUAGAGAAGUGAUGCCCGCGCUGGACCGUGUACAAGUCUCCUGGGAUGGAGCGUCAUAGAGGGUGAGAAUCCCGUCUCUGACACGGACUACCAGGGCUUUGUGGUACGCUCUCAAAGAGUCGAGUUGUUUGGGAAUGCAGCUCAAAAUGGGUGGUAAAUUCCAUCUAAAGCUAAAUAUUGGCGAGAGACCGAUAGCGAACAAGUACCGUGAGGGAAAGAUGAAAAGAACUUUGGAAAGAGAGUUAAACAGUACGUGAAAUUGCUGAAAGGGAAACGCUUGAAGUCAGUCGCGUUGGCCAGGGAUCAGCCUCGCUCUUCUGCGUGGUGUAUUUUCUGGUUGACGGGUCAGCAUCAAUUUUGACCGCUGGAAAAAGGCUUGAGGAAUGUGGCAGCUCCGGCUGUGUUAUAGCUUCAUGUCAUAUACAGCGGUUGGGAUUGAGGAACUCAGCACGCCGCAAGGCCGGGUUUCGACCACGUUCGUGCUUAGGAUGCUGGCAUAAUGGCUUUA